GCCAUAAAAGAAAAAGUGGUCAGCAAUAUUUAACAGCACGACUUGGCCCCGGGCGCAGAGAGCCGCGCUAUAAAAAGCCGCUGGAAUUUACUGGCAGCUACAAAUAUUUGCUUAACUUGCAUCUGGAGUUGGGGUGUUUUCCGGGGAGAGAGGAGGAGAGUGAGAGGACUGAUAUUUGCCAAAAGAACCGUGACGCAGGGUGACUUCCCAUCCAGGCCCUUCUUGGACCUUCCAGCACCCAAGAGAGGCAGGUCCCAGCAGGCCACUCCCACCUCUUUGCCCCUGUUACAGAAGGUCUCCAGACCCUCCUGCCUUGGACUGAGGUCCUGUUAUUCAGGGCAACUAUCAAAUUCUACCUGCUAAAACGUGAUGGAUUAGAGGAAAAAAAAAACCCAUCAGGAACCUGAAAAACCAGCAUCAUCUCCAUGACCACGGCUUGAACUCUCCUUCCAACUUAACGAUAAUAGGUUCUGUCUUAGAAACUGCUAUGUAAUGUGAUGUAUGGGGGUCAUUUGGCUCCAGACGAGGGAUGGAAGCACAAGCCAUAAAAUCCUGCCAGAGUUCCCUGAUCUUUGUGUGCUGUUGUUGUUGUUGAUAUUUGUUACUUGGCCUAUUUACCUGCUUCAGAAACACCAAGUAAAGGACAAACCUGGAAAUCUAAAAAGCAACUGAAAGCCUUCUCAACCCUUUUUAUUUAGAAAGCAUACUGUAAAAGUGAAAUCUAUGUUUUAUUUUUGUUUUCACCUUUGCAUGGUCAACCUCUGGUUGUCACUCAGCUCAGAAAACUUUCACGAGAGUUCAAAUAGUCGCCCCGCACACACAAUCAGGAUGUUAGUCUCUCUGACCAUUUAAGAAAAUUACAAUGACAAAUUCAUGAAGAAAAGGGCUUACACUUCAUGCCUCAACUAUGUGUACUUGAGUCCUGAAGUUAUUCAAGAUUCCAGGAAUAGCAGACACUUUGUUAACUAGAAAAAAAUUAAUGUAAUAAGCAUAUAGCA
This is a long non-coding RNA of Eubalaena glacialis (North Atlantic right whale), 998 nucleotides long. RefSeq lists it as uncharacterized. The transcript is spliced from 3 exons. NCBI's taxonomy places the organism in Eukaryota, Metazoa, Chordata, Mammalia, Artiodactyla, Balaenidae. The record is from RefSeq and is a predicted model, not a curated record.